GGCGAACGCUGGCGGCGUGCCUAAUACAUGCGAGUUGAGCGAUGAAGAUUGGUGCUUGCACCAAUUUGAAGAGCAGCGAACGGGUGAGUAACGCGUGGGGAAUCUGCCUUUGAGCGGGGGACAACAUUUGGAAACGAAUGCUAAUACCGCAUAACAACUUUAAACAUAAGUUUUAAGUUUGAAAGAUGCAAUUGCAUCACUCAAAGAUGAUCCCGCGUUGUAUUAGCUAGUUGGUGAGGUAAAGGCUCACCAAGGCGAUGAUACAUAGCCGACCUGAGAGGGUGAUCGGCCACAUUGGGACUGAGACACGGCCCAAACUCCUACGGGAGGCAGCAGUAGGGAAUCUUCGGCAAUGGACGAAAGUCUGACCGAGCAACGCCGCGUGAGUGAAGAAGGGUUUCGGAUCGUAAAACUCUGUUGGUAGAGAAGAACGUUGGUGAGAGUGGAAAGCUCAUCAAGUGACGGUAACUACCCAGAAAGGGACGGCUAACUACGUG
RNAcentral lists this ribosomal RNA (497 nucleotides) under uncultured bacterium. RNAcentral describes it as "partial 16S ribosomal RNA". It matches the Rfam family "Bacterial small subunit ribosomal RNA", at positions 28 to 507 of the family's 1533-position model. The record is from RNAcentral.